AUGGCCAUUGAUUCUCUGCAGGCUGCAACUCACGCAGCUGUGAAGUUGCAGAACAUGUAUAGGAGUUUUCGUGACCGGCGCAAGUUAGCUGACACCCUUAUAGCCGAGCUCUGGGGACACGCAAUAGACUUUGCUAUACUGAACAUCAGUACGACUUUCUUCUUCGAGUGCUUGAAUGAGAGGAGUUCCAAUACUCGCUGGACUCGGAUUGGCUUUAAUGCUUCUAUGGUAGGCAGAGGUUUCUCAGAAGAUGACGAAGCACAAAUAUUGGCUUUUCAGCAUUGGAUUGAAGCAAUUGAUCCACGGCAUCGUUAUGGGAGUUGCUUACGUUUGUACUUCAACCAGUGGUAUAGAUCAAAUGUUGGUCAGCCAUUUUUUUAUUGGCUGGUUGCUGGAGAAGGCAAAGAGCUUGAUCUCAAAGAAUGCUCAAGAUCAAAGCUGCGACAACAAUGCAUCAAGUAUCUUGGACCUCAAGAGAGGGAACAUUAUGAAUACAUCAUUAUUGAAAGGAAAAUAAUUCACAAGCAAACUGGAGAUCUCCUUGAUACUACCCAAGAUUCACAAUCAGCCAAGCGGAUAUUCGUCAUGAGCACCUCCAAGAAACUGUAUGUUGAUCAGAUAAAGAAAGGAGUAUUUCAUCAUUCUAGCUUCUUAGCUGGAGGAGCUACGUUAGCUGCUGGAAGGCUAGUGGCAGAGCAAGGAAUUCUUAAGUCCGUAUCUCCAUACAGUGGACAUUACCGACCAACAGAUGACAGCCUUGACAGCUUUUUAUCCCUUCUCAAGGAAAAUGGGCUGAACCUUGAUGAAAUUCAGGUAUGCAAAGCCAAUGAAGAUUCGGAUGCCUAUGAUGAGGCAAACUCAAUGGGAAUGGGACUUCAGUUGAAGGUUCAACGAAAUCAAAAACUCAAGAACUCGAAAUUCCAGAUGAAGAAGAGAAACCCCCAUCCCCAGAAUCAACUGAAUUUCCUCAAACUGAAACCAAAAACAUUUACGAAAGGACACUGUCUGGUGGUCUUCAGAGCCCGAGAGCUGAGGUUCCCAAGACUGCAAUAUUGGAACGAAUCAAUUCCAAGAAGGCAGCAAAAUCACACCAAUUAUGCAAUCAGCUCUCAUGUAAGUGGUCAAGUGGAGCUGGACCAAGAAUUGGUUGUGUCGCUGACUACCCCGUAGAACUGAGGCAACAUGCCUUGGAGUUUGAUAACCUGUCUCCAAGAACUCCACCCACACCAUCAGCCUUCAGGCGAAUGGCUGGUCUUGCAUCACCUACUGCAUCAUCUAUACCUCACCAUGAGUCGGAUAUCAGUAAUGGUGAUGGGACCUCUGCUGAUUAAAUUCAUAUAUCACUUAGUUUUUGCAUCCUGCCUAACGAAUGCUUAGUGUACAUAUCUGUUCUUCAUGUCACCUAAAACUCUUUUGAAUGGUUAGAGAAUAAUGCUUUUUAGGUCUAAUCAUGUUCCAUAAUCUCAACUUAUUCUCUGUUUAACCCACUAUCUUGGAAUUCCAAUUGGUGGUAAAAAAUUUGAGGCAAAUCGUAGAGGGUAGAAGCUGUAUAAUCUCCUGUUGAAUCCAACUACUAUAUUCAAGAGUUCACUGCCCAUGGAAAGAAAACGU
Molecule: RNA transcript, 1611 nt
Organism: Quercus lobata
Lineage: Eukaryota; Viridiplantae; Streptophyta; Magnoliopsida; Fagales; Fagaceae
Gene name: IQ domain-containing protein IQM3-like
Exons: 9
Source: RefSeq, a predicted model, not a curated record